RNAcentral lists this ribosomal RNA (324 nucleotides) under uncultured eukaryote. Its description in RNAcentral is "partial 18S ribosomal RNA". It matches the Rfam family "Eukaryotic small subunit ribosomal RNA", at positions 1470 to 1796 of the family's 1831-position model. The record is from RNAcentral.
CCCUUAGAUGUUCUGAACCGCACGCGUGUUACACUGAUGCAUUCAACGAGCUUUACCUUGGCCGAGAGGCCUGGGAAAUCUUUUUAGCAUGCAUCGUGAUAGGGAUUGAUUAUUGCAAUUAUUAAUCAUGAACGAGGAAUUCCUAGUAAACGCAUUUCAUCAAAAUGCAUUGAUUACGUCCCUGCCCUUUGUACACACCGCCCGUCGCACCUACCGAUUGAGUGGUCCGGUGAAGUCUCGAGAUUGUGGCAAUCUCCUUUAUUGGAGUUUGACUGCGAGAACUUGCCUAAACCUUAUCACUUAGAAGAAGGUGAAGUCGUAACA